AGGGUUUGAUCAUGGCUCAGAUUGAACGCUGGCGGUAUGCUUUACACAUGCAAGUCGAACGGCAGCAUAGGUGCUUGCACCUGAUGGCGAGUGGCGAACGGGUGAGUAAUGCAUCGGAACGUGCCCAGUCGUGGGGGAUAACGCAGCGAAAGCUGUGCUAAUACCGCAUACGAUCUAUGGAUGAAAGCGGGGGACCUUCGGGCCUCGCGCGAUUGGAGCGGCCGAUGUUAGAUUAGGUAGUUGGUGGGGUAAAGGCUCACCAAGCCAACGAUCUGUAGCUGGUCUGAGAGGACGACCAGCCACACUGGAACUGAGACACGGUCCAGACUCCUACGGGAGGCAGCAGUGGGGAAUUUUGGACAAUGGACGCAAGUCUGAUCCAGCCAUUCCGCGUGCAGGAUGAAGGCCCUCGGGUUGUAAACUGCUUUUGUACGGAACGAAAAGGUUUCUAUUAAUACUAGGAGCUCAUGACGGUACCGUAAGAAUAAGCACCGGCUAACUACGUGCCAGCAGCCGCGGUAAUACGUAGGGUGCAAGCGUUAAUCGGAAUUACUGGGCGUAAAGCGUGCGCAGGCGGUUAUGUAAGACAGAGGUGAAAUCCCCGGGCUCAACCUGGGAAUGGCGCCUGUGACUGUAUAGCUAGAGUGUGUCAGAGGGGGGUAGAAUUCCACGUGUAGCAGUGAAAUGCGUAGAUAUGUGGAGGAAUACCAAUGGCGAAGGCAGCCCCCUGGGAUAACACUGACGCUCAUGCACGAAAGCGUGGGGAGCAAACAGGAUUAGAUACCCUGGUAGUCCACGCCCUAAACGAUGCUGACUAGUUGUUCGGGAUUUACAUCCUGAGUAACGUAGCUAACGCGUGAAGUCAGCCGCCUGGGGAGUACGGUCGCAAGAUUAAAACUCA
RNAcentral lists this ribosomal RNA (901 nucleotides) under uncultured bacterium. RNAcentral's name for it is "bacterial SSU rRNA". It matches the Rfam family "Bacterial small subunit ribosomal RNA", at positions 8 to 903 of the family's 1533-position model. The record is from RNAcentral.